UAGAACGACUCUCGGCAACGGAUAUCUCAGCUCUCGCAUCGAUGAAGAACGUAGCGAAAUGCGAUACGUGGUGUGAAUUGCAGAAUCCCGUGAACCAUCGAGUUUUUGAACGCAAGUUGCGCCCGAAGCCUUCAGGUUGAGGGCACGUCUGCCUGGG
This 157-nucleotide ribosomal RNA is filed under the name Garcinia macrophylla. RNAcentral's name for it is "5.8S ribosomal RNA". It matches the Rfam family "5.8S ribosomal RNA". Rfam says of the family: 5.8S ribosomal RNA (5.8S rRNA) is a component of the large subunit of the eukaryotic ribosome. The record is from RNAcentral. Lineage: Eukaryota; Viridiplantae; Streptophyta; Magnoliopsida; Malpighiales; Clusiaceae.